Long non-coding RNA from Diachasmimorpha longicaudata, 1260 nucleotides. RefSeq lists it as uncharacterized. The transcript has 3 exons. The record is from RefSeq and is a predicted model, not a curated record. NCBI's taxonomy places the organism in Eukaryota, Metazoa, Arthropoda, Insecta, Hymenoptera, Braconidae.
GAUGCGAUGAUGCGAGGGUGCGAGUGGACCUACAUUUUUAAGUGGGUUCCGAACCACUACAUUGGUUGGUUAAAAAAAAAAAAAGAGUUGCCUCCUAAGCAUCACUGGGUGAAGCUUUCGACUAUGCUGUACCUCGCAAUUGCAUACCAGCAUUUGUUUUGUCUCAUUCAUCGGCUUGUUCUUUUUGUUGUUUUAAGUUUUUCAUACAUACUGUGAAUAGUUUAGCUGUGGUAUUUAUUUAUCCUCGCAUCCUCAUAUGAGAACACGAGUGAACAUUGGUUGGUUAAUGGUCACACUCGUCAGAAAAAUCUUUACCACACUUGUUGCGUAAUGUAUUAUUCCUUAUACCAAAUUCCUAAUCGAAAAAAUGUACCAGUUAACCGUUGAUUAGUGUGAGUGAUCGAACUACUGCGAAUGGUUGUGUGCGAUCGUAAAUAUGAGAAUAGGGUAUGGGUAAGCGAAAGAGACGAGACCGAAGAGGAGAGCCCCCCUUUGUAAACAUUCCAUGCAGUGUCGUACUAAUUGCGGCCGCGGAUGGUCGUAACCGCUCACUACCGAGCUUAAUUUCACAGUGGCGUAAAUUCUAGUGUCACAACGGGGCAACGAAUGGUGGACAACAUCGCCGAAGAAUGAGAGGGUCUUUACUGCAUUAUGGUUAACCACCGUGGUAUACGCCAUUGACAUCAAAGGACGUCUACUUAGAGGGUGGGGCCUUCGUCGGUCUGUACCAUGCCAACUAACCCGGCCAAACAUUAGUCUCCCCUCCUACCCCAGCCUUUACGAACGCUACAAGACGCUCGCUAAUUAGCCAAGAUUAAUGCCCGGCAAUUGGAGGAAAAUCCUGGGAAAGGAAACCGUGUUUUUCAUGAGCUUUACAUUACUAAGUGACUGUUGGAAAAUUAGAACACAGCUCUUCUGUUUAUCUUCACAAAUCACUCAGCAAGGUUCAUGAUGUGUUUGAAAGAGUCUCCAGAAAAGGACUAACUUAUCAUCUGUUGUGCUCCGAACUUGAGAGCAUUGUACUCCUUACCAGAUGUGGCAUUCAAAGGAAACCCUGUCCUCGGGAGUCAUAAACAUUUUCUUGUUUUUUCCCUUAGUAAAGGUUUUUCAUAUAGUAAGAAGUUAGUCUCUGGACACCGGUCCUGUAGGUCAGUCGUGCCUUCCUCGUGCCAGUGAUAAAGAGUUCUAGUUAAAGUAAUUGAUUGUGUGGCUGCAUUCAUUUAUAUACUUUUACCCAUAUCCCAAUAGUGACUACGAAAA